This 497-nucleotide ribosomal RNA is filed under the name uncultured bacterium. Its description in RNAcentral is "partial 16S ribosomal RNA". It matches the Rfam family "Bacterial small subunit ribosomal RNA", at positions 28 to 507 of the family's 1533-position model. The record is from RNAcentral.
GAUGAACGCUGGCGGCGUGCCUAAUACAUGCAAGUCGAGCGAACAGACGAGGAGCUUGCUCCUUCGACGUUAGCGGCGGACGGGUGAGUAACACGUAGGUAACCUACCUAUAAGACUAGGAUAACUUCGGGAAACCGGAGCUAAUACCGGAUAAUAUUUCGAACCGCAUGGUUCGAUAGUGAAAGAUGGCUUUGCUAUCACUUAUAGAUGGACCUGCGCCGUAUUAGCUAGUUGGUAAGGUAACGGCUUACCAAGGCAACGAUACGUAGCCGACCUGAGAGGGUGAUCGGCCACACUGGAACUGAGACACGGUCCAGACUCCUACGGGAGGCAGCAGUAGGGAAUCUUCCGCAAUGGGCGAAAGCCUGACGGAGCAACGCCGCGUGAGUGAUGAAGGUCUUCGGAUCGUAAAACUCUGUUAUUAGGGAAGAACAAACGUGUAAGUAACUGUGCACGUCUUGACGGUACCUAAUCAGAAAGCCACGGCUAACUACGUG